AUUGAACGCUGGCGGCAGGCUUAACACAUGCAAGUCGAACGAGUGGCGGACGGGUGAGUAAUGCCUGGGAAUCUGCCUUAUGGAGGGGGAUAACGACGGGAAACUGUCGCUAAUACCGCGUACCAUCGGAUGUGCCCAGGUGGGAUUAGGUAGUUGGUGGGGUAAUGGCCUACCAAGCCGACGAUCCCUAGCUGGUCUGAGAGGAUGACCAGCCACACCGGAACUGAGACACGGCCCGGACUCCUACGGGAGGCAGCAGUGGGGAAUAUUGCGCAAUGGGGGCAACCCUGACGCAGCCAUGCCGCGUGAAUGAAGAAGGCCUUCGGGUUGUAAAGUACUUUCUGUGACGAGGCGUUAAUCACAGAAGAAGCACCGGCUAACUCCGUGCCAGCAGCCGCGGUAAUUC
Molecule: ribosomal RNA, 406 nt
Filed under: uncultured bacterium
Lineage: Bacteria
Description: partial 16S ribosomal RNA
Rfam family: Bacterial small subunit ribosomal RNA
Source: RNAcentral